RNAcentral lists this transfer RNA (82 nucleotides) under Felis catus (domestic cat). It matches the Rfam family "tRNA". Rfam says of the family: Transfer RNA (tRNA) molecules are approximately 80 nucleotides in length. Lineage: Eukaryota; Metazoa; Chordata; Mammalia; Carnivora; Felidae. The record is from Rfam by way of RNAcentral.
GCCUGAGUGGCUCAGUUGUUAAGCAUCUGACUUCGGCUCAGGUCAUGAUCUCAGUUCGUGAGUUCGAGUCCCACAUCGGGUG